Molecule: ribosomal RNA, 484 nt
Filed under: uncultured bacterium
Lineage: Bacteria
Description: partial 16S ribosomal RNA
Rfam family: Bacterial small subunit ribosomal RNA
Source: RNAcentral
GAUGAACGCUGGCGGCGUGCUUAACACAUGCAAGUCGAACGAUGAAGCCGGAGCUUGCUCUGGUGAAUUAGUGGCGAACGGGUGAGUAACACGUGAGUAACCUGCCCUUGACUCUGGGAUAACUGCGGGAAACUGUAGCUAAUACCGGAUACGACCCUCGGAGGCAUCUCCUGGGGGUGGAAAGAAUUUCGGUCAAGGAUGGACUCGCGGCCUAUCAGCUAGUUGGUGAGGUAAAGGCUCACCAAGGCGACGACGGGUAGCCGGCCUGAGAGGGUGACCGGCCACACUGGGACUGAGACACGGCCCAGACUCCUACGGGAGGCAGCAGUGGGGAAUAUUGCACAAUGGGCGCAAGCCUGAUGCAGCAACGCCGCGUGAGGGAUGACGGCCUUCGGGUUGUAAAUCUCUUUUAGUAGGGAAGAAGCGAAAGUGACGGUACCUGCAGAAAAAGCACCGGCUAACUACGUGCCAGCCGCCGCCGUAA